UGUGGUCACAUCACGUUAAAACACCGGUUUCCGUACGAUCACUGAAGUUAAGCAACGCCAACCUGUUCAGUAACUAGAUGGGUGACCGUUUAGGAGAUCCAGUUGCUGUAAG
This is a non-coding RNA of Acanthosepion pharaonis, 112 nucleotides long. Lineage: Eukaryota; Metazoa; Mollusca; Cephalopoda; Sepiida; Sepiidae. The record is from the annotation of a GenBank genome assembly.